CUCAGCUUGCCAUGUCUCCCAAACCUCAUGACACUUUUUGUAGGUGAUACUUUUAGAAAAUUAUGAUCACCGAAGUGAAAUUCUAAUUCUCUUCUUUUUCUAUCUGUCCAACUCUUCUGUCUAUCCUAUGCUGCUUUGAGUCUUUCCUUGAUCAGAUAGAUUUUCUCUCUAGCAUCCAUUUAUUAUCAGUAAAAUCUUUCCUUAUUUACAACUAACGUAUUUCAUAAUAUCUUUUGAUUUAAAGGAUUAAUAUUUCUAAUUAAUUCAGACCAUCAUACUUUUACUGCGCACUCUGAUCUCAACUUACCAAAUUAUCUAAGUCUAUCAAAAAUAAAAAUAUCUUUGUAUAUUAAAUCAAUCAAAGAUAGAUCCAACUUUCAGAUUUCAUAUAAAAUUUAGGAUAAAAUUUAAGAUUUUCUUGUCAUUACUAUCUCUUAGGCAUAGCACAUC
This 450-nucleotide long non-coding RNA is filed under the name Elaeis guineensis (African oil palm). Its description in RNAcentral is "long non-coding RNA (EGUI_LNC025166)". Lineage: Eukaryota; Viridiplantae; Streptophyta; Magnoliopsida; Arecales; Arecaceae. The record is from RNAcentral.